Molecule: long non-coding RNA, 586 nt
Filed under: Betta splendens (Siamese fighting fish)
Lineage: Eukaryota; Metazoa; Chordata; Actinopteri; Anabantiformes; Osphronemidae
Description: lncRNA (ENSBSLG00000020062.1)
Source: RNAcentral
UUUUUUGAUAAGGAAUUAGGAGGUAAUUGCUUAGUAAUAGAUUGUUUUAUUUGAUAUGAACCUAGUGGAACAUUUGAUAGUAAGACUGAUACUAUCAUUGAUUCCAUUUUUGGUUUUUUCCUCUGACGUGUCUGUAACUGUGGUAUAAAGUGUCAGUGGUGACAGCAUCAGUAGCAACUGGAGCAAGAGUGAGUUGAACAUUUUGGCGAGACGAGCAGCACUGAUCUCUUUGAAAUGAUGAUGAAGCUUUCUGUUAUUCUGAUGAUGGUGGUGGCCGGGAUCUUUGCAGCAUCACAAUCCAAAUCACCUGUUUUAAUGUUUAGAAUUUGCGAAGAAACUAAGGACUUGCUCUCCAAUUUAUCCAAACCAAAGCUGAACGAGACAAAACUUCCAGUGGCAUCAGAGCCAGGAAACAUAUGCUGGGCUGGAUUCUUCUGCAGGGCUGAGAUCUGUCUGAGGAAAGUAGAUAUGCCUGAAUUAAAAACACUCGAGCAUCUUAUUGAACAGUACAACAGGGAGAACAAGGUAAAGAAGACUUUGUGAUUCAAUGUUCUUUUUAGAUGACAUGCAGAGACAUUUAAAGGCA